RNAcentral lists this transfer-messenger RNA (388 nucleotides) under Burkholderiaceae bacterium. It matches the Rfam family "transfer-messenger RNA". Rfam says of the family: Bacterial tmRNA, also known as 10Sa RNA or SsrA, is named for its dual tRNA and mRNA-like properties. Lineage: Bacteria; Pseudomonadati; Pseudomonadota; Betaproteobacteria; Burkholderiales; Burkholderiaceae. The record is from RNAcentral.
GGGGCUGCAUUUGGUUUCGACGUGGGCUCGGAAUCGCAGUGGUGCAUGUCGAGCUUGGUGUGCUCGUAAAACUGACCAAAACAAAGUAACUGCAAACGACGAACGUUUCGCACUCGCUGCUUAAACACCAGUGAGCCUUGCAACAGUUGGCCGAUGGGCUGGGCAAGGGGGUGACGGAGUGAUCCGGCGCCUCCCGGCUGCAAGGGAAUUCACAUGGGCUGGCCUCGAUCCGGGUACCUUGGGCUGAGGUGAGAACAAAGGGUACUGGCCACCGGCGGAGCGUGCGACUGCGCGCCGCAGGUUGCGAGAUCCAAAACAGACCGCUAAACAUGUAGAUCUGCGCGAGGAAGGUUGACGGACGGGGGUUCGACUCCCCCCAGCUCCACCA